Molecule: small RNA, 115 nt
Filed under: unclassified sequences
Description: LOOT RNA
Rfam family: LOOT RNA
About the family: Latescibacteria, OD1/Parcubacteria, OP11, TM7. Lineage (Microgenomates, aka OP11)
Source: Rfam by way of RNAcentral
UGCCUAAACCUCGCUUUGCGGGGCAUGGCAAUAAAACCUUGUCAGGAAAAAGCUCCUCGUCUGGAGCACCUGACAAGGUCAUAUCCCGAAAGGGGUAUGGGUAGCGAAAGCUAUC